UUCCUGACUAGGACAACUCUGUACUCAUAAUGCCAUGCUUUGUCAUCAUCCAUUUUCAUCAUCAUUAUCAUCACAUCAACACUCCCCCAACUACCACCCUACUCACCACCACCACCACCAUCAUCAUCAUCAGAAACUAACUGCUGAUUGAAAAAGUACCUCAAUACUACAGGGGAGCCCUGGUCUUACCAAUGUGGAUAGUCCCUCCAAACUACAGGCUGCAACCCAUCCUUGUCUUUUGGCCCUUUGUUUCUCUUGUCAAUAUUCGUGAAGAAAUACAUGUCCAAAAAAACCCGACUGUGACAUCCAGAACACUUAUGUCCUGGUGUUCUUCACUCGAGCAUUUUGUGCCUUGAGAGAAAAAGGCACGCGAGGCGGCUGUGCAUAACUGGCUGGCAACCCAACAUUCUCCAUUCCUACAAGACUGGCUUCAAAAAAGAAGUAUUGAGAAUACUUACUGAGACAAAGGUGAACCCAGCGCCACCCCCUUCGAAUGUAAUGUGGGCAAGAAAUGGUCAUUAAAUUCAAUAUAACAAGCUUUUAAUAAACCCCACUUUGGGGCUAGAUUCUAUGAACA
This 577-nucleotide long non-coding RNA is filed under the name Monodelphis domestica (gray short-tailed opossum). Its description in RNAcentral is "lncRNA (ENSMODG00000045337.1)". Lineage: Eukaryota; Metazoa; Chordata; Mammalia; Didelphimorphia; Didelphidae. The record is from RNAcentral.